This 240-nucleotide unclassified non-coding RNA is filed under the name soil metagenome. RNAcentral's name for it is "partial contains 5.8S ribosomal RNA, internal transcribed spacer 2, and large subunit ribosomal RNA". The record is from RNAcentral.
AACCAUAGAAACCUGCGGAGUACCUGCGGAAGGAUCAUUACCGAGUUGAUUCGGGGCUCCGUCCCCGAUCCUCCCACCCUUUGUAUACCUACCUCUGUUGCUUUGGCGGGCCGCGGUCUUUCCGCGGCCGCCCCCCGAUUUUGGGGGGUGGCUAGUGCCCGCCAGAGGACUAUCAAACUCCAGUCAGUAAACGUUGCAGUCUGAAAAAAAUAUUAAAUAAACUAAAACUUUCAACAACGG